Long non-coding RNA from Macadamia integrifolia, 401 nucleotides. RefSeq lists it as uncharacterized. The record is from RefSeq and is a predicted model, not a curated record. NCBI's taxonomy places the organism in Eukaryota, Viridiplantae, Streptophyta, Magnoliopsida, Proteales, Proteaceae. The transcript is spliced from 2 exons.
AGUUUCUCUUCUAAUCCUGAAUUGGGUUCAAGAAAAUCUCUUUCUGGGCCAACCCUUCUCACUUUGUUUCUGUUUCUUAAUUCCAGAGGGUACAACUGAGGAUUCUAAGCUGAAAUUCUCAGAGGAUGAGGAAGAUCUCAUUGCUCGGAUGUUUCGAUUAGUUGGAGAGAGGUGGUCUCUGAUAGCUGGAAGAAUCCCAGGUAGAACAGCAGAGGAGAUUGAGAAAUAUUGGACUUCAAAGUAUUCUUCCUCUAGUAAUUGAAAGAUUAGGCACUUCAACUAGUUCUUAGCUCUUGUUUGAAGUUACCCAUCAAUGUACACAAAGUAGAUGUAAAUUUAGAUAUGGCCAUGGAAGUAGGAAUUAAAAUUGUUUUCUGUAAUACCAAGUUCUUAGAUUUUUA